This 88-nucleotide transfer RNA is filed under the name Gammaproteobacteria bacterium. Its description in RNAcentral is "tRNA-Ser". It matches the Rfam family "tRNA". Rfam says of the family: Transfer RNA (tRNA) molecules are approximately 80 nucleotides in length. Their secondary structure includes four short double-helical elements and three loops (D, anti-codon, and T loops). Further hydrogen bonds mediate the characteristic L-shaped molecular structure. tRNAs have two regions of fundamental functional importance: the anti-codon, which is responsible for specific mRNA codon recognition, and the 3' end, to which the tRNAs corresponding amino acid is attached (by aminoacyl-tRNA synthetases). tRNAs cope with the degeneracy of the genetic code in two manners: having more than one tRNA (with a specific anti-codon) for a particular amino acid; and 'wobble' base-pairing, i.e. permitting non-standard base-pairing at the 3rd anti-codon position. The record is from RNAcentral. Lineage: Bacteria; Pseudomonadati; Pseudomonadota; Gammaproteobacteria. RNAcentral also lists the same sequence under 2 other names.
GGAGAGCUGGCAGAGCGGCCGAAUGCGGCGGUCUUGAAAACCGUUGAGGAGAAAUCCUCCGGGGGUUCGAAUCCCUCGCUCUCCGCCA